AUAAUCGCGUAUUACAACUACGGAUUACAGAACUUUGUCAAUGACCUAAACGGAUAUAAACAGGAAUGAAUGAACAGAUCAGGUUUGAAGUAACCUUUGAUGGGGUCUUAUAGAGACAGCUGGCACAGGUUGGAAUUAUGACAUAAUACAGAUUAUGGAUCAUUAAUUGGAAAUAAAUCAGAAAAAGUACUUCAGUUCUUGCUUAGAAGAUCAGUGCCAUCUAUUAUAGUAAAGACCAUCGUAUUCCAGCUCAUGAAUGUUCAAGAAGGUUGAAAGAUCGAGCAGAGGUGUGGAACCAGAUAUGCCAAUACCAGUGGCCCAGGAUUUGGAGGAGACUAGUUACCCAAUAAAUGUUAUCCAUGGAAACAAUGAUUCCACAACAACAUUCUAUCUAUAAGCUGUUUUCUUUAUAUUUAGAAAAAAUAAGAGUCUGAGAUGAUUAUAGUACAUUGCUUCUCCAUCUUUGAACUUGCAUUCAGUAAAAUAAAUUUAUGCAUCAGAUGUAUUAAUUGGAAGUGGCAUAUGUCUGCUUAACAAGUUUCUAUGUAGCAUUCAAAAAGUGUUUGUAAAAUUUCACGUAAAUUGUUGUAGCAAAAUAUCCAUAGAUAAUGGACAGAAUAUGUAUCUGUGUCAUUAUGGCAUUGUUAUAUUUUUCCUGUUCUUUUCCAAUAUUCAUGACAGUGUAAUAACUUCGCAGAAUUUUACAAUUGGACUGAAAUAGGAAGUACUUGCACUGUAAACUCAUUAAAAUAUGAAUUUGUAA
Long non-coding RNA from Saccostrea echinata, 763 nucleotides. RefSeq lists it as uncharacterized. NCBI's taxonomy places the organism in Eukaryota, Metazoa, Mollusca, Bivalvia, Ostreida, Ostreidae. The transcript has 3 exons. The record is from RefSeq and is a predicted model, not a curated record.